AAUCUUGGUCACUGGGGGAAACCCUGAUCCAGCCAUCCCGCGUGUAUGAUGAAGGCCUUCUGUUUGUCCAGUACUUUUGCCAGCGAAGAAAAGGUAUCUCCUAAUACGCGCUACUCCUGACGGUAUCUGCAGAAUAAGCACCUGCUAACUACGGUCCAGCAACCGCGGUAAUACGUAGGGUGCAAGCGUUAAUCGGAAUUACUGGGCCUAAAGCGUGUGUAGGCGGUUCGGAAAGAAAGAUGUGAAAUCCCAGGGCUCAACCUUGGAACUGCAUUUUUAACUGCCGAGCUAGAGUAUGUCAGAGGGGGGUAGAAUUCCACGUGUAGCAGUGAAAUGCGUAGAUAUGUGGAGGAAUACCGAUGGCGAAGGCAGCCCCCUGGGAUAAUACUGACGCUCAGACACGAAAGCGUGGGGAGCAAACAG
Molecule: ribosomal RNA, 423 nt
Filed under: uncultured bacterium
Lineage: Bacteria
Description: partial 16S ribosomal RNA
Rfam family: Bacterial small subunit ribosomal RNA
Source: RNAcentral